This 1008-nucleotide long non-coding RNA is filed under the name Anser brachyrhynchus (Pink-footed goose). RNAcentral's name for it is "lncRNA (ENSABRG00000009064.1)". Lineage: Eukaryota; Metazoa; Chordata; Aves; Anseriformes; Anatidae. The record is from RNAcentral.
AGACUUUAAAUAGAUAUUUUUAUUUGUUCUUUGAAAGUUUUAUUACACAGCCUCUCUCCUCUUUGCCAUCUGACUGAUAGGAAAUCAAAGGAUGCUAAAAUGAAAAACAUCUGAUUGUAGGAAUGAAACAAUUAGUUGGCAUCAAUAAGAGGAGCGUAUCAGUACUAACAAAAGCAAGUCUGUGACCCAGGAUCCUUAAAUAAAACACUGAAGGAAAAAAAGAAAAAAGGCACAACAACCAGGGCUAAGACCCAUGCUGGCCUAAUGGGAGAAAGAAAUGGCAAACUGACACUAGCUUUGCUUCUUGUACUAGUUUAACAUAUUUGCUCUUUGCCAUUGGAACAUUUUAUUGUCUGUGAUAAUUAUGUAACAUUUCCAUGGCAACAGGAUCAGUGAGGUGGCUCUGGCCCUCAUUUCUUUCUGCGUAAAGCUGCUGAGCUCCAAUUUUAGAGUCAGUGCUGCAAAGCAACAUGAAGUGUUUCUGUGUUGACUCUCCUAAGUCUCUAGGUCUUACUUAACUGCUUCGUUACCACAGCAGGCAUCAGGGAGGACCUCCAGAGUUACUAGUUUGGUGGAACAGAGAGGAUGUCUGUGGCAAAAGGUUCUCAGCAUGUAACAACCACAAAGCAGAACAGGGAAGAAUUAUUUUUCAGUUGUAAAAAUAAGCGAGGAUUUUUGUUGCUCCUACAUUGGCUAGCAAGGGAAGAUAUCGCUCAAAACUGCCUUGAAUUCCAGUGCCAAGCAGAGCAGUUUUGUGGCUGCUCUGAUCUGUUCCGGUGUGCUAUCAGCCAGAACACCAUGCAUCCCAGCCCUGACCCCUCCAUCCUCCUGUUGGCAGGGACGGCUCUAUAGGGUCAGCAGUUUCAUCAGGCAGGGGCUAAUCAUGUUCCUCAGCACUUCUUGUUCUUUUCAGAGUGUGGUAAAGAAGCCUGGAUAAUAAGCCUUGAAGAAUUAGUUCACAGUAGUUUGCUACAGGAGACAGACUGAAUAAAAAGGAAUAAACUUACA